RNAcentral lists this ribosomal RNA (450 nucleotides) under uncultured bacterium. RNAcentral's name for it is "partial 16S ribosomal RNA". It matches the Rfam family "Bacterial small subunit ribosomal RNA", at positions 354 to 796 of the family's 1533-position model. The record is from RNAcentral.
GUGGGGAAUCUUCCGCAAUGGACGAAAGUCUGACGGAGCAACGCCGCGUGAGUGAUGAAGGUUUUCGGACUGUAAAGCUCUGUUGUUUAGGACGAAAGUGCCUGUUGCAAAUAGUUACAGGUAUUGACGGUACUGAACGAGGAAGCCACGGCUAACUACGUGCCAGCAGCCGCGGUAAUACGUAGGUGGCAAGCGUUGUCCGGAAUUAUUGGGCGUAAAGAGCAUGUAGGCGGGAAUCUAAGUCUGUUGUGAAAAUGCGGGGCUCAACCCCGUAUUGCGAUGGAAACUGGGUUUCUUGAGUGCAGGAGAGGAAAGGGGAAUUCCCAGUGUAGCGGUGAAAUGCGUAGAUAUUGGGAGGAACACCAGUGGCGAAGGCGCCUUUCUGGACUGUGUCUGACGCUGAGAUGCGAAAGCCAGGGUAGCGAACGGGAUUAGAUACCCGGGUAGUCC